This 433-nucleotide ribosomal RNA is filed under the name uncultured bacterium. RNAcentral describes it as "partial 16S ribosomal RNA". It matches the Rfam family "Bacterial small subunit ribosomal RNA", at positions 29 to 507 of the family's 1533-position model. The record is from RNAcentral.
AACGAACGCUGGCGGCAGGCCUAACACAUGCAAGUCGAGCGAGGACUUCGGUCCUAGCGGCGGACGGGUGAGUAACGCGUGGGAACGUGCCCUUUGCUUCGGAAUAGCCCUGGGAAAUUGGGAGUAAUACCGGAUGAGCCCUUUGGGGGAAAGAUUUAUCGGCGAAGGAUCGGCCCGCGUUGGAUUAGGUAGUUGGUGGGGUAAUGGCCUACCAAGCCGACGAUCCAUAGCUGGUUUGAGAGGAUGAUCAGCCACACUGGGACUGAGACACGGCCCAGACUCCUACGGGAGGCAGCAGUGGGGAAUCUUAGACAAUGGGGGAAACCCUGAUCUAGCCAUGCCGCGUGAGCGAUGAAGGCCUUAGGGUUGUAAAGCUCUUUCAGCUGGGAAGAUAAUGACGGUACCAGCAGAAGAAGCCCCGGCUAACUCCGUG